Molecule: long non-coding RNA, 474 nt
Filed under: Diabrotica virgifera virgifera (western corn rootworm)
Lineage: Eukaryota; Metazoa; Arthropoda; Insecta; Coleoptera; Chrysomelidae
Description: uncharacterized LOC126881387
Source: RNAcentral
GCCCCACUCACCAACUCUGUCAAUGUCAAGUGAACCCUUCUCUUUGUCAAAAUGAAGAAUAUUUUUUAUUUUAAUUCUAAAAUCUACUUAAGGCAAUGUCUGGCCUCAUAGCCACAUUUUCAAACAGACGUUCUUAAUUGGGUUUUCUGGACAAAUAAGAAUCUUCACCGGACAACCCUUCACCUCGUGGGAGGACUCCCUGAACCUGGAGCCCCCAAUAUCGCCGGCGAUGCUACAGUAAUUUAGCAUAGACACCACACCAUCAACCAACACCUGUAGGCCUGGUGGCCAGAACAUCCACGUCGCCAGAGCCCGUUGCAGAACAACAGCAAGACACCAAGAACCUGCAGACAGAUACCAAGUGCCAUCGAUAAGUAUAAUCUCUGAUCUGUAAAGUUUCGGCAAGGUCUUUUAAAUUAUUUUUUUUAAUACAUUAAUUAUGUCUUUUAUGAAAAAUAAACAUGAUUAGUUAAA